This 90-nucleotide ribosomal RNA is filed under the name uncultured fungus. RNAcentral describes it as "partial 5.8S ribosomal RNA". It matches the Rfam family "5.8S ribosomal RNA", at positions 66 to 154 of the family's 154-position model. Rfam says of the family: 5.8S ribosomal RNA (5.8S rRNA) is a component of the large subunit of the eukaryotic ribosome. It is transcribed by RNA polymerase I as part of the 45S precursor that also contains 18S and 28S rRNA. Functionally, it is thought that 5.8S rRNA may be involved in ribosome translocation. The record is from RNAcentral. Lineage: Eukaryota; Fungi.
UGUGAAUGCGAAUGACGUGAAUCAUCGAAUCUUUGAACGCACAUGUGCGCCCCUUGGUAUCCCGAGGGGCAUGCCUGUUCGAGCGUCAUU